GCCGGUAAGGCCCGCCCAACUGCCUCCUGUCAGCUCCUUAAGUAGAAGCCGGAGGAAGGGGCUCGGUCUUUCGGGGACUGUGACGUUGAGGAGGUUCCGGCCGGGCCGAGGACGUCGCAUCUCCCUGUCCUCCUCCUCUUGGACCAUUCCCCGAAGCCCUUCAAUAAAAUGGUUUGAUCCCAGC
Leptonychotes weddellii (Weddell seal) is the source of this 184-nucleotide long non-coding RNA. RefSeq lists it as uncharacterized. Lineage: Eukaryota; Metazoa; Chordata; Mammalia; Carnivora; Phocidae. The record is from RefSeq and is a predicted model, not a curated record.